AGUUUGAUCCUGGCUCAGGACGAACGCUGGCGGCGUGCCUAAUACAUGCAAGUCGAACGAAACUUUCUUACACCGAAUGCUUGCAUUCACCGUAAGAAGUUGAGUGGCGGACGGGUGAGUAACACGUGGGUAACCUGCCUAAAAGAAGGGGAUAACACUUGGAAACAGGUGCUAAUACCGUAUAUCUCUAAGGAUCGCAUGAUCCUUAGAUGAAAGAUGGUUCUGCUAUCGCUUUUAGAUGGACCCGCGGCGUAUUAACUAGUUGGUGGGGUAACGGCCUACCAAGGUGAUGAUACGUAGCCGAACUGAGAGGUUGAUCGGCCACAUUGGGACUGAGACACGGCCCAAACUCCUACGGGAGGCAGCAGUAGGGAAUCUUCCACAAUGGACGCAAGUCUGAUGGAGCAACGCCGCGUGAGUGAAGAAGGUCUUCGGAUCGUAAAACUCUGUUGUUAGAGAAGAACACGAGUGAGAGUAACUGUUCAUUCGAUGACGGUAUCUAACCAGCAAGUCACGGCUAACUACGUGCCAGCAGCCGCGGUAAUACGUAGGUGGCAAGCGUUGUCCGGAUUUAUUGGGCGUAAAGGGAACGCAGGCGGUCUUUUAAGUCUGAUGUGAAAGCCUUCGGCUUAACCGGAGUAGUGCAUUGGAAACUGGAAGACUUGAGUGCAGAAGAGGAGAGUGGAACUCCAUGUGUAGCGGUGAAAUGCGUAGA
This 715-nucleotide ribosomal RNA is filed under the name uncultured bacterium. RNAcentral's name for it is "bacterial SSU rRNA". It matches the Rfam family "Bacterial small subunit ribosomal RNA", at positions 10 to 694 of the family's 1533-position model. The record is from RNAcentral.